AUAUCUUCCUCCAGCUUGUCGAUGAUCAUAGCGAAAGCCUUAAAGAUGGCAUUGGUGGGGCCGGUCAGAGUGAUGAUUCUCUCCGGACAAUUCCCCUCCGAGAUGUUGAUCCGCGCGCCACUCUCCUCGCGGAUCCUCUUAACCGACUCCCCUUUCUUCCCAAUGAUGCUUCCUACUUCCUUUCCGUGCAUAAGAAGCCGAAUGAGGAAGACAAACAUAAAGAUGAAGUGCUUAAUUCAAGGUCACACAAUGUCGGGGAUGGACCUCCAGAUUUCCUUACUGACCUGCAUUAUCUUGUGGAUACCUGAGUGAAUUCCACACCACCCAUUUUAUAGAUGAAACCACUGAGACAUGGAGCAAUUGACUGAGUAGUCACUGCCCCACCCCUGCCUGGAGCCUCACACAUGACUCGCCUCCUCUCAGUGACCACAGGUUGGUUGAGGGGUUUAACAAGGCUAAGAAGGUGAGACGUGGUCUUGUAACACAGUGGUUAAGAAUGUGACUUUGGAGCCAGCCUGCUAGGGGCUGAAUUCUGACUCAGCCAUUUACUAACUGUGUGACCUUAGGUCACAGAAUUUUCCACACUCCUUGACAGAGGUGCUUAACCCUUAUCCAUCAGCAUUCUCAGACAGCACCU
RNAcentral lists this long non-coding RNA (637 nucleotides) under Homo sapiens (human). RNAcentral describes it as "non-protein coding PCBP1-AS1:222". The record is from RNAcentral. Lineage: Eukaryota; Metazoa; Chordata; Mammalia; Primates; Hominidae.